This 335-nucleotide unclassified non-coding RNA is filed under the name soil metagenome. RNAcentral's name for it is "partial contains 5.8S ribosomal RNA, internal transcribed spacer 2, and large subunit ribosomal RNA". The stretch from base 1 to 120 matches the Rfam family "5.8S ribosomal RNA", at positions 35 to 154 of the family's 154-position model. The record is from RNAcentral.
GAUGAAGAACGCAGCGAAAUGCGAUAAGUAAUGUGAAUUGCAGAAUUCAGUGAAUCAUCGAAUCUUUGAACGCACAUUGCGCCCGCCAGUAUUCUGGCGGGCAUGCCUGUUCGAGCGUCAUUUCAACCAUCAAGCCCCCGGCUUGUGUUGGGGACCUGCGGCUGCCGCAGGCCCUGAAAACCAGUGGCGGGCUCGCUAGUCACUCCGAGCGUAGUAAUACAUCUCGCUCAGGGCGUGCUGCGGGUUCCGGCCGUUAAAAAGCCUUAUUUACCCAAGGUUGACCUCGGAUCAGGUAGGAAGACCCGCUGAACUUAAGCAUAUCAAUGAGCGGAGGA